Molecule: ribosomal RNA, 484 nt
Filed under: uncultured bacterium
Lineage: Bacteria
Description: partial 16S ribosomal RNA
Rfam family: Bacterial small subunit ribosomal RNA
Source: RNAcentral
AGUGAACGCUGGCGGCGUGCUUAACACAUGCAAGUCGAACGAGAACGGGUUAUAGCUUGCUAUAAUUGUCAGCUAAGUGGCGCAUGGGUGAGUAAUGUAUAGGUAAUAUGCCUCUUACUAAGGGAUAACAAAUGGAAACGUUUGCUAAUACCUUAUACUCCUUAUUAACAUAAGUUAAUAAUGGAAAGAUUUAUUGGUAAGAGAUUAGCCUGUAUUGUAUCAGUUAGUUGGUGGGGUAAUGGCUUACGAAGACUAUGACACAUAACUGGUUUGAGAGAAUGAUCAGUCACACUGGAACUGAGACACGGUCCAGACUCCGACGGGAGGCAGCAGUGGGGAAUAUUGCACAAUGGACGAAAGUCUGAUGCAGCAACGCCGCGUGGAGGAUGACACAUUUCGGUGCGUAAACUCCUUUUAUAUGAGAAGAUAAUGACGGUAUUAUAUGAAUAAGCACCGGCUAACUCCGUGCCAGCAGCCGCGGUAA